RNAcentral lists this ribosomal RNA (495 nucleotides) under uncultured bacterium. RNAcentral's name for it is "partial 16S ribosomal RNA". It matches the Rfam family "Bacterial small subunit ribosomal RNA", at positions 28 to 507 of the family's 1533-position model. The record is from RNAcentral.
GACGAACGCUGGCGGCGUGCCUAAUACAUGCAAGUAGAACGCUGAAGGAGGAGCUUGCUCUUCUGGAUGAGUUGCGAACGGGUGAGUAACGCGUAGGUAACCUGCCUGGUAGCGGGGGAUAACUAUUGGAAACGAUAGCUAAUACCGCAUAACAGUAGAUGUUGCAUGACAUUUGCUUAAAAGGUGCAAUUGCACCACUACCAGAUGGACCUGCGUUGUAUUAGCUAGUUGGUGGGGUAACGGCUCACCAAGGCGACGAUACAUAGCCGACCUGAGAGGGUGAUCGGCCACACUGGGACUGAGACACGGCCCAGACUCCUACGGGAGGCAGCAGUAGAGAAUCUUCGGCAAUGGACGGAAGUCUGACCGAGCAACGCCGCGUGAGUGAAGAAGGUUUUCGGAUCGUAAAGCUCUGUUGUAAGAGAAGAACGAGUGUGAGAGUGGAAAGUUCACACUGUGACGGUAUCUUACCAGAAAGAGACGGCUAACUACGUG